UUUGUGUCUGUCUGUGUUUGUGUCUGACCGUGUGUGUGUGACUGUGUGUGUGUCCGUGUAUGUGUCUGACUGUGUGUCUGACUGUGUGUGUGUGUAUGUGUCUGACUGUGUGUGUGUGUGUAUGUGUCUGACUGUGUAUGUGUAUGUGUCAGACUGUGUGUGUGUUUGUGUCUGACUGUGUGUGUGUUUGUGUCUGUGUUUGUGUGUUUGUGAGUGUGUGCGCGUGUGUCUGACUGUAUGUGUGUGUGUUUGUGUCUGACUGUGUGUGUGUCUGACUGUGUGUGUGUGUGUUUGUCUCUGACUGUGUUUGUGUCUGACUGUGUGUGUUUGUG
Pelobates cultripes (western spadefoot toad) is the source of this 332-nucleotide non-coding RNA. The record is from the annotation of a GenBank genome assembly. NCBI's taxonomy places the organism in Eukaryota, Metazoa, Chordata, Amphibia, Anura, Pelobatidae.